AACCUAGCACACCUGCGGUGUGUACCUGCGGAAGGAUCAUUACAAGUGACCCCGGUCUAACCACCGGGAUGUUCAUAACCCUUUGCUGUCCGACUCUGUUGCCUCCGGGGCGACCCUGCCUUCGGGCGGGGGCUCCGGGUGGACACUUCAAACUCUUGCGUAACUUUGCAGUCUGAGUAAACUUAAUUAAUAAAUUAAAACUUUUAACAAUGGAUCU
This 217-nucleotide unclassified non-coding RNA is filed under the name soil metagenome. RNAcentral's name for it is "partial contains 5.8S ribosomal RNA, internal transcribed spacer 2, and large subunit ribosomal RNA". The record is from RNAcentral.